This 518-nucleotide ribosomal RNA is filed under the name Candida tropicalis. RNAcentral's name for it is "eukaryotic LSU rRNA". The stretch from base 160 to 313 matches the Rfam family "5.8S ribosomal RNA". Lineage: Eukaryota; Fungi; Ascomycota; Pichiomycetes; Serinales; Debaryomycetaceae. The record is from RNAcentral.
UGGGUACUGCGGAGACAUUACUGAUUUGCUUAAUUGCACCACAUGUGUUUUUUAUUGAACAAAUUUCUUUGGUGGCGGGAGCAAUCCUACCGCCAGAGGUUAUAACUAAACCAAACUUUUUAUUUACAGUCAAACUUGAUUUAUUAUUACAAUAGUCAAAACUUUCAACAACGGAUCUCUUGGUUCUCGCAUCGAUGAAGAACGCAGCGAAAUGCGAUACGUAAUAUGAAUUGCAGAUAUUCGUGAAUCAUCGAAUCUUUGAACGCACAUUGCGCCCUUUGGUAUUCCAAAGGGCAUGCCUGUUUGAGCGUCAUUUCUCCCUCAAACCCCCGGGUUUGGUGUUGAGCAAUACGCUAGGUUUGUUUGAAAGAAUUUAACGUGGAAACUUAUUUUAAGCGACUUAGGUUUAUCCAAAAACGCUUAUUUUGCUAGUGGCCACCACAAUUUAUUUCAUAACUUUGACCUCAAAUCAGGUAGGACUACCCGCUGAACUUAAGCAUAUCAAUAAGCGGGAGGAA